AUGAUACAAGCACCGAGUCACUCCCAUCUGCAUCUUCUGUGUCUUCUGCACCAUCUACAUCUGGAGAAAGCUCAUCAGCUGCAGGCAUUACAGAGACCACUGGAAGAAGCACAACAGCCACCAAGUCCUCUGGAACUACAUCUGCCAAGAGCAGGAAAAGGAAGACCAAGAUGGAAGCAACACAGGAAAUCUUCACUGAAAAGAUCAGCAGUGCCCUCAACAACACAGACGACACUGAGCUUCAAUUGAAAAUGCAAGCAGCACAGCAUGAACAUGAGCUCAAAAUGCUCUCAAUGUUCACACAGUUUCUUGCCAGGUCAAAUUCCCCAUGUCCACCUUUCUACCAGGCACCAGUCCAGCCCUCACAGUACAACCCAACUGCCGCCUCAGCCGACCUUUUACAACUUUACUCAGCCUCCUAAAUUUAGCACGGGUUCACCUCAGCCUCCACCAUGUAACGAGACAACCAACCAGCCUCUAUCUUUCCUGCAAGAUCUGGCUCAACCUCUACCUUUCAACCAUCCCCCUGCACAUCCUCCAGAUCUACCUCAGCCCUUCAGCCAGGUGUCAGCACACCCUCAAGGUCCAGCUCAGCAGCCCUUCAGCCAGGACUCAGGACAUCCACCAUUCUACCGACCUCCAGAACAUCCUGUUGUCCUAAAGAGUAGAUUGACCAGGUCCCUCAUAGGCCUCACCAUGCUUCUCGCACACAUUGUGGAGAGUGCAGCAUGCACUUAUGAUGGUAGGGACAGUGGAGAUGUCCACAUCCAGCCGUUUCCCCAGGCAUCUCCACCGCCCCUUCAAUUGGCCGAAUGCACAUUCCACUGUCACCCUGGCUUUGCUGUGUCGCUCGUUAAAGUACCUUUGCUGCUCUGUCAGGUUCCCUGUGUCAGUGUACCCUUUAAGCAGCCAGAUCCACAUGGGGUACGCCGGGUCACCAAGCAGCACACGGAGGACUUGGCAAUGCCAAACAGGUUACCCAGCGUGCGGUAA
Molecule: long non-coding RNA, 993 nt
Filed under: Dicentrarchus labrax (European seabass)
Lineage: Eukaryota; Metazoa; Chordata; Actinopteri; Moronidae
Description: lncRNA (ENSDLAG00005034290.1)
Source: RNAcentral